GCCCGUCUAGCUCAGUCGGUAGAGCGCCAGACUCUUAAUCUGGUGGUCGUGGGUUCGACCCCCACGGUGGGUG
Perkinsela sp. CCAP 1560/4 is the source of this 73-nucleotide transfer RNA. It matches the Rfam family "tRNA". From Rfam's summary of the family: Transfer RNA (tRNA) molecules are approximately 80 nucleotides in length. Their secondary structure includes four short double-helical elements and three loops (D, anti-codon, and T loops). The record is from Rfam. NCBI's taxonomy places the organism in Eukaryota, Euglenozoa, Kinetoplastea, Prokinetoplastida, Perkinselidae.